UUGUUUUAGCCAUCUCAUUUCUUAAAGCUUUGGUGAGUCUACAUACAAGCUCAAAAUUUGGAUCAUUACAAUCAACAAUCACACCUCCAAUAGAUACCUUGCCAUCGCCGUGAGACAUGGAGGAAUGUGAUGAAGUGGAUGAGCUUGUAGAAGCAUCACUCUCAUAGCCAUCAUCUUCAUCUUCACUUGACCAUGAGGUGGAGCAAUCCUCCACAACCACCUUGUUGUGGUCAUGCUCAUCAUCCUCAUGUAUCUCCACCUUUGGUUCCUCCUUUUUGAACUUGCCAUCAUCCCAUGUGGAGGAAUCACCGAAGGUGUGUUUGAUAGACUCCCACAUUUCAUAUGCGGUUCCUUU
RNAcentral lists this long non-coding RNA (355 nucleotides) under Sorghum bicolor (sorghum). RNAcentral's name for it is "long non-coding RNA (SBIC_LNC005156)". The record is from RNAcentral. Lineage: Eukaryota; Viridiplantae; Streptophyta; Magnoliopsida; Poales; Poaceae.